This is a long non-coding RNA of Alnus glutinosa, 806 nucleotides long. RefSeq lists it as uncharacterized. Lineage: Eukaryota; Viridiplantae; Streptophyta; Magnoliopsida; Fagales; Betulaceae. The transcript has 2 exons. The record is from RefSeq and is a predicted model, not a curated record.
UCUUCUUCAGUUCGGCGGUUCCAAAUUAACAGAGUUCGUGUUCUUCUUCUUCUUCGGAUAGAUUUUGUGAUUCUUCCCUAAUAAUUGAGUUUCGGUAAUGGAUCUAGGGGUUUUGAUCUCGGGUUGCAUAUUUUUUUUGGGUUCAAGUAUGGGGGCUACGUACGGGACGAUGAAGAGCGGGGUGGGAGCGGCGUCGAUGGGCGUGAUGAGGCGGGAGUUGGUGAUGAAGUUGAUCGUGCCGGUUGUCAUGGCAGGAGUGUUGGGUAUAUAUGGUCUCAUCAUCGCCGGGAUCUCGCUUGUGGCUACACCCACCUCUCCUUUGGUCUCGCUUGGGCCUUAUUGGCCUCUCCGUUGGUAUGGCCAUUGGCAUCGUUGGUGACGGUGGUGUAAGGAAAAAUUAAAUUGGAAAUUGGCCUUACUAGAAGGGAAAGUAGAGAGAUCGGUUUUGUGCUGUUUCUAAGCGCGUGGAGGCAGGAAGCCACUAGAGGUCUGACCUCCAUCAACACAAAUUGUCUGUCCAGUUAUGUAGGAGGAUGCGGGUAGGCAGAGGAAUGCAACCAUCGAUGAGACCUCCUUCGGCUCACCCCACCGUCCAACAGGACUUUGCGAAGCUAAACUUUUCAAAAGCUGUUCGUUUGCAAAAGCCUGCAAUGGUAGACCAAAUCACAGCAAACAUUAGAGGGCGGUCCUACAUUUUAUAAUUAACAUCCAUCCUACUCCAUGAUAAGAAGAGUUUUUUAAAGGAAGAUUAUGUAGUGAAAGAUACAACUAAUAAAAACUACAAAUGGGCCACUUCCCGCUGUGCA